RNAcentral lists this ribosomal RNA (627 nucleotides) under Epichloe amarillans. RNAcentral describes it as "eukaryotic LSU rRNA". It matches the Rfam family "Eukaryotic large subunit ribosomal RNA", at positions 1 to 649 of the family's 3401-position model. Lineage: Eukaryota; Fungi; Ascomycota; Sordariomycetes; Hypocreales; Clavicipitaceae. The record is from RNAcentral.
UUGACCUCGAAUCAGGUAGGACUACCCGCUGAACUUAAGCAUAUCAAUAAGCGGAGGAAAAGAAACCAACAGGGAUUGCCCCAGUAACGGCGAGUGAAGCGGCAACAGCUCAAAUUUGAAAUCUGGCCCCCCGGGGCCCGAGUUGUAAUUUGCAGAGGAUGCUUUUGGCGAGGCGCCUUCCGAGUUCCCUGGAACGGGACGCCACAGAGGGUGAGAGCCCCGUCUGGUCGGAUGCCGAGCCUCUGUAAAGCUCCUUCGACGAGUCGAGUAGUUUGGGAAUGCUGCUCUAAAUGGGAGGUAUAUGUCUUCUAAAGCUAAAUAUUGGCCAGAGACCGAUAGCGCACAAGUAGAGUGAUCGAAAGAUGAAAAGCACUUUGAAAAGAGGGUUAAAUAGUACGUGAAAUUGUUGAAAGGGAAGCGCUCAUGACCAGACUUGGGCCCGGUGAAUCAUCCAGCGUUCUCGCUGGUGCACUUUGCCGGGCUCAGGCCAGCAUCAGUUUGCCCCGGGGGAUAAAGGCUCUGGGAAUGUGGCUCCUCCGGGAGUGUUAUAGCCCUCUGCGCAAUGCCCUGGGGCGGACUGAGGUUCGCGCAUCUGCAAGGAUGCUGGCGUAAUGGUCAUCAGCGACC